RNAcentral lists this ribosomal RNA (427 nucleotides) under uncultured bacterium. RNAcentral's name for it is "partial 16S ribosomal RNA". It matches the Rfam family "Bacterial small subunit ribosomal RNA", at positions 355 to 774 of the family's 1533-position model. The record is from RNAcentral.
UGGGGAAUAUUGGACAAUGGGCGAAAGCCUGAUCCAGCCAUGCCGCGUGUGUGAAGAAGGUCUUCGGAUUGUAAAGCACUUUAAGUUGGGAGGAAGGGCAUUAACCUAAUACGUUAGUGUUUUGACGUUACCGACAGAAUAAGCACCGGCUAACUCUGUGCCAGCAGCCGCGGUAAUACAGAGGGUGCAAGCGUUAAUAGGCAUUACUGGGCGUAAAGCGCGCGUAGGUGGGUUGUUAAGUUGGAUGUGAAAUCCCCGGGCUCAACCUGGGAACUGCAUUCAAAACUGACUGACUAGAGUAUGGUAGAGGGUGGUGGAAUUUCCUGUGUAGCGGUGAAAUGCGUAGAUAUAGGAAGGAACACCAGUGGCGAAGGCGACCACCUGGACUAAUACUGACACUGAGGUGCGAAAGCGUGGGGAGCAAACA